Molecule: transfer RNA, 87 nt
Filed under: Flavobacteriales bacterium
Lineage: Bacteria; Pseudomonadati; Bacteroidota; Flavobacteriia; Flavobacteriales
Description: tRNA-Ser
Rfam family: tRNA
About the family: Transfer RNA (tRNA) molecules are approximately 80 nucleotides in length. Their secondary structure includes four short double-helical elements and three loops (D, anti-codon, and T loops). Further hydrogen bonds mediate the characteristic L-shaped molecular structure. tRNAs have two regions of fundamental functional importance: the anti-codon, which is responsible for specific mRNA codon recognition, and the 3' end, to which the tRNAs corresponding amino acid is attached (by aminoacyl-tRNA synthetases). tRNAs cope with the degeneracy of the genetic code in two manners: having more than one tRNA (with a specific anti-codon) for a particular amino acid; and 'wobble' base-pairing, i.e. permitting non-standard base-pairing at the 3rd anti-codon position.
Source: RNAcentral
GGAGAGGUGCCAGAGUGGUCGAAUGGGCUUGUCUCGAAAACAAGAGUACUCGCAAGGGUACCGAGGGUUCGAAUCCCUCCCUCUCCG